UUUCCGGUUGAUCCCGCCGGAGGCCACUGCUAUCGGGGUCCGACUAAGCCAUGCGAGUCAAGGGGCUCCCUUCGGGGAGCACCGGCGCACGGCUCAGUAACACGUGGCUAACCUACCCUCGGGUGGGGAUAACCUCGGGAAACUGAGGCUAAUCCCCCAUAGGGGAGGAGGUCUGGAAUGAUCCCUCCCCGAAAGGCGUAAGCCGCCCGAGGAUGGGGCUGCGGCGGAUUAGGUAGUUGGUGGGGUAACGGCCCACCAAGCCUACGAUCCGUACGGGCCCUGAGAGGGGGAGCCCGGAGAUGGACACUGAGACACGGGUCCAGGCCCUACGGGGCGCAGCAGGCGCGAAACCUCCGCAAUGCGCGAAAGCGCGACGGGGGGACCCCGAGUGCCCACGCUCUGCGUGGGCUUUUCCGGAGUGUAAACAGCUCCGGGAAUAAGGGCUGGGCAAGUCCGGUGCCAGCAGCCGCGGUAAUACCGGCGGCCCAAGUGGUGGCCACUGUUAUUGGGCCUAAAGCGUCUGUAGCCGGCCCGGUAAGUCUCUGCUUAAAUCCUGCGGCUCAACCGCAGGGCUGGCAGAGAUACUGCCGGGCUUGGGACCGGGAGAGGCCGGGGGUACCCCAGGGGUAGCGGUGAAAUGCGUUGAUCCCUGGGGGACCACCUGUGGCGAAGGCGCCCGGCU
Molecule: ribosomal RNA, 682 nt
Filed under: uncultured archaeon
Lineage: Archaea
Description: bacterial SSU rRNA
Rfam family: Archaeal small subunit ribosomal RNA
Source: RNAcentral